AAGAAAGGAGCAUGAGUGGUUUGAUGCGGCUGGCUUGAAACCAGUAUAUGAGGGUUCGAUUCCUUCCUUUCUUG
This 74-nucleotide transfer RNA is filed under the name Ciconia ciconia (White stork). RNAcentral describes it as "transfer RNA-Asp". It matches the Rfam family "tRNA". Rfam says of the family: Transfer RNA (tRNA) molecules are approximately 80 nucleotides in length. RNAcentral also lists the same sequence under 1 other name. Lineage: Eukaryota; Metazoa; Chordata; Aves; Ciconiiformes; Ciconiidae. The record is from RNAcentral.